UACGGAGAGUGCAAGCGUUGUUCGGAAUUACUGGGCGUAAAGCGCGUGUAGGUGGCACAACAAGCCUGGCGUGAAAGCCUGGAGCUCAACUCCAGAAGUGCGUUGGGAACUGUCGUGCUUGAGUAUCGGAGAGGAAGGCGGAAUGCUCGGGUGUAGAGGUGAAAUUCGUAGAUAUCCGGCAGAACAUCAGUGGCGAAAGCGGCCUUCUGGACGAAUACUGACACUAAGACGCGAAAGCGUGGGGAGCAAACAGG
This 254-nucleotide ribosomal RNA is filed under the name uncultured bacterium. Its description in RNAcentral is "partial 16S ribosomal RNA". It matches the Rfam family "Bacterial small subunit ribosomal RNA", at positions 524 to 776 of the family's 1533-position model. The record is from RNAcentral.